UGCGAAUGCUGACAUAAGUAACGAUAAAGCGGGUGAAAAGCCCGCUCGCCGGAAGACCAAGGGUUCCUGUCCAACGUUAAUCGGGGCAGGGUGAGUCGACCCCUAAGGCGAGGCCGAAAGGCGUAGUCGAUGGGAAACAGGUUAAUAUUCCUGUACUUGGUGUUACUGCGAAGGGGGGACGGAGAAGGCUAUGUUGGCCGGGCGACGGUUGUCCCGGUUUAAGCGUGUAGGCUGGUUUUCCAGGCAAAUCCGGAAAAUCAAGGCUGAGGCGUGAUGACGAGGCACUACGGUGCUGAAGCAACAAAUGCCCUGCUUCCAGGAAAAGCCUCUAAGCAUCAGGUAACAUCAAAUCGUA
Molecule: ribosomal RNA, 355 nt
Filed under: Escherichia coli
Lineage: Bacteria; Pseudomonadati; Pseudomonadota; Gammaproteobacteria; Enterobacterales; Enterobacteriaceae
Description: partial 23S ribosomal RNA
Rfam family: Bacterial large subunit ribosomal RNA
Source: RNAcentral